Molecule: long non-coding RNA, 310 nt
Organism: Aplysia californica (California sea hare)
Lineage: Eukaryota; Metazoa; Mollusca; Gastropoda; Aplysiida; Aplysiidae
Exons: 2
Source: RefSeq, a predicted model, not a curated record
AAAAUCCAUCUUCAAUUUCAUGAGUACACCUCUCAUAGACCAUCACGAAGGAGACACCCGAAGGCAAGAUGUUGGGCUCAAGGACUGAGGGAAGACAGCACACAAUGUGGACGGGCGCUGCACAGUGGCGACCAGCAAUGGCAUGGUUUUGAAAUGGUUCAGUAUUUGGGUAAUUGUGUAUUUAUGUAUGCAUUUAUGUAUGUGUAUGUGUAUAUACCAUCGACCUCAUGAGCCACGUAACAAAAAUACUACUUAGAAUAAUUAUGAUGAGAAUACAGAAUAAAAUUACCCCAGAAAUAGUCCAAGAACA